RNAcentral lists this ribosomal RNA (790 nucleotides) under Phellinocrescentia guianensis. RNAcentral describes it as "eukaryotic LSU rRNA". It matches the Rfam family "Eukaryotic large subunit ribosomal RNA", at positions 88 to 898 of the family's 3401-position model. The record is from RNAcentral. Lineage: Eukaryota; Fungi; Ascomycota; Dothideomycetes; Pleosporales.
GGCGAGUGAAGCGGCAACAGCUCAAAUUUGAAAGCUGGCUCCUUUGGGGUCCGCAUUGUAAUUUGGAGAGGAUGCCUCGCGGACGGUGCCACCUUAAGUCCCUUGGAACAGGGCGUCACAGAGGGUGAGAGUCCCGUAUGUGGGUGGAUGCCCGACGCGUGUGAGGCUCCUUCGACGAGUCGAGUUGUUUGGGAAUGCAGCUCUAAUUGGGAGGUAAAUUUCUUCUAAAGCUAAAUAUCGGCCGGAGACCGAUAGCGCACAAGUAGAGUGAUCGAAAGAUGAAAAGCACUUUGAAAAGAGAGUCAAACAGCACGUGAAAUUGUUGAAAGGGAAGCGCUUGCCAUCAGACGUGCCUGCGGUCGAUCACCCGCCGUUCUCGGUGGGGCACUCGGCCGUGGGCAGGCCAGCAUCGGUUCGGGGGGUUGGAGAAAGGUGGCGGGAAUGUGGCUCCCUACGGGGAGUGUUAUAGCCCGCUACGGAAUACAGCCUCCCUGGACCGAGGUCCGCGCUUCGGCUAGGAUGCUGGCGUAAUGAUUGCAAGCGGCCCGUCUUGAAACACGGACCAAGGAGUCUAACACCUACGCGAGUGUUCGGGCGUUAAACCCGUGCGCGCAAUGAAAGUGAACGGAGGCGGGAGCCUUUGGGCGCACCGUCGACCGAUCCGGAUGUCUUCGGAUGGAUUUGAGUAAGAGCGUAGUUGUUGGGACCCGAAAGAUGGUGAACUAUGCCUGAAUAGGGCGAAGCCAGAGGAAACUCUGGUGGAGGCUCGCAGCGGUUCUGACGUGCAAAU